RNAcentral lists this non-coding RNA (24 nucleotides) under Gossypium hirsutum (cotton). Lineage: Eukaryota; Viridiplantae; Streptophyta; Magnoliopsida; Malvales; Malvaceae. The record is from RNAcentral.
UUUGGAGUACAUUCCACCUGCUGU